AGGAGAGUAGCUCAAUUGGUAGAGCAACGGCCUCCAAAGCCGUAGGUUGCAGGUUCAAGUCCUGUCUCUCCUGCGA
This 76-nucleotide transfer RNA is filed under the name Fidelibacterota bacterium. RNAcentral describes it as "tRNA-Trp". It matches the Rfam family "tRNA". From Rfam's summary of the family: Transfer RNA (tRNA) molecules are approximately 80 nucleotides in length. Lineage: Bacteria; Pseudomonadati; Fidelibacterota. The record is from RNAcentral.